Molecule: long non-coding RNA, 628 nt
Organism: Nelumbo nucifera (sacred lotus)
Lineage: Eukaryota; Viridiplantae; Streptophyta; Magnoliopsida; Proteales; Nelumbonaceae
Source: RefSeq, a predicted model, not a curated record
CGCUCUCACGUGCAGAUAUUUUGCAUGUGUAAAAAACAUCUGUUUGUUCGACCAAGGUUUGGUUCACGAGCAUACAGACCUUCGAGUCAAGGAAGAACGGGAGAACGGCGAGCGUCGAGGAAGAAGUCCAACGGCGAGCUUCGAGGAAGAAAUCCGAGGAAGAAAUCGAGGAAGACCAUCUCGUUUCAGUUGUGCCUCCCGUAGAAAACCCUACUGCUCUUUGAUCCGCUGUUACUGCAACCCCUGUAAGGUUUUUGGAGACGGAUCUGUUCCCUUCCAAGGUUUGAUAGUAAUUGAGUUUCGAAAUGACAAGGUUAUAUUUGCUUCACAAUACCAAUGCAUGGCAAGAAGCAACAUUGAAGCUGAAUGGUGGGCAGUUAUAGGAGCCAUAGACUUGUCAUGAAAUAGAUGAACCAGCUGCAAUUGGAAUGCCAUUGGGCUGAGAAGAUACUUAAGAUUGUGAAGAACAUGGUUUCUGUUUUAUUUUUCUUGCCAAGUAAAGAUGAAUAACAUUAUUUCUGUUUUUGAUGUAUAUAAAAUCUUACUUGUCAGUAGGAUAGACAAUGAUAUAGCUCAUCAUAUUUUUGCCUUUUUGCUUGUAAUUAUAAGAUGGAUCUAUGUUUUGACA